GACGAACGCUGGCGGCGUGCUUAACACAUGCAAGUCGAACGGUGAAGCGCCUUCCUUUUUGGUGGGUGUGGAUGAGUGGCGAACGGGUGAGUAACACGUGAGUAACCUGCCCCCUUCUUCUGGAUAACCGCAUGAAAGUGUGGCUAAUACGGGAUAUUCUGGGUCUGUCGCAUGAUGGGUCUGGGAAAGAUAUUGUUUCGGUGGGGGAUGGGCUCGCGGCCUAUCAGCUUGUUGGUGGGGUGAUGGCCUACCAAGGCGGUGACGGGUAGCCGGCCUGAGAGGGUGGACGGUCACACUGGGACUGAGACACGGCCCAGACUCCUACGGGAGGCAGCAGUGGGGAAUAUUGCACAAUGGGCGCAAGCCUGAUGCAGCGACGCCGCGUGAGGGAUGGAGGCCUUCGGGUUGUGAACCUCUUUCGCGGGUGAAGCAGGCCUGCCUCGUUUGUGGGUGGGUUGACGGUAGCUGGAUAAGAAGCGCCGGCUAACUACGUG
RNAcentral lists this ribosomal RNA (494 nucleotides) under uncultured bacterium. RNAcentral's name for it is "partial 16S ribosomal RNA". It matches the Rfam family "Bacterial small subunit ribosomal RNA", at positions 28 to 507 of the family's 1533-position model. The record is from RNAcentral.